RNAcentral lists this transfer RNA (73 nucleotides) under Arthonia quintaria. Its description in RNAcentral is "tRNA-Cys". Lineage: Eukaryota; Fungi; Ascomycota; Arthoniomycetes; Arthoniales; Arthoniaceae. The record is from RNAcentral.
AGGGAUUUGUUGUAGAUGGUCUACGUUUUGAUUGCAGAUCUUAAACCUGGAGUUCGAUCCUUCCUUAUCCCUA